GAUUAACGCUGGCGGCGUGCAUAACACAUGCAAGUCGAACGAUGAAACUUUAAUGAACCCUUCGGGGAGAAUUAAAGCGGAUUAGUGGCGAACGGGUGAGUAACGCGUGAGUAACCUGCCUUACACAAGGGGAUAGCCUUUGGAAACGAAGAAUAAUACCCUAUAAAACCAUAAAAGCACAUGCAAUUAUGGUCAAAGUGAUAGCGGUGUAAGAUGGACUUGCGUCUGAUUAGCUAGUUGGUGAGAUAAAAGCCCACCAAGGCAACGAUCAGUAGCCGGCUUGAGAGAGUGUACGGCCACAUUGGGACUGAGACACGGCCCAGACUCCUACGGGAGGCAGCAGUGGGGGAUUUUGCACAAUGGGGGAAACCCUGAUGCAGCGACGCCGCGUGAUUUAGAAGGCCUUCGGGUUGUAAAAAUCUUUUGUAUAGGAAGAAAAUGACAGUACUAUACGAAUAAGGUCCGGCUAAUUACGUG
This 477-nucleotide ribosomal RNA is filed under the name uncultured bacterium. RNAcentral's name for it is "partial 16S ribosomal RNA". It matches the Rfam family "Bacterial small subunit ribosomal RNA", at positions 28 to 507 of the family's 1533-position model. The record is from RNAcentral.